UGCAGUCGAGCGAACUGAUUAGAAGCUUGCUUCUAUGACGUUAGCGGCGGACGGGUGAGUAACACGUGGGCAACCUGCCUGUAAGACUGGGAUAACUUCGGGAAACCGAAGCUAAUACCGGAUAGGAUCUUCUCCUUCAUGGGAGAUGAUUGAAAGAUGGUUUCGGCUAUCACUUACAGAUGGGCCCGCGGUGCAUUAGCUAGUUGGUGAGGUAACGGCUCACCAAGGCAACGAUGCAUAGCCGACCUGAGAGGGUGAUCGGCCACACUGGGACUGAGACACGGCCCAGACUCCUACGGGAGGCAGCAGUAGGGAAUCUUCCGCAAUGGACGAAAGUCUGACGGAGCAACGCCGCGUGAGUGAUGAAGGCUUUCGGGUCGUAAAACUCUGUUGUUAGGGAAGAACAAGUACAAGAGUAACUGCUUGUACCUUGACGGUACCUAACCAGAAAGCCACGGCUAACUACGUGCCAGCAGCCGCGGUAAUACGUAGGUGGCAAGCGUUAUCCGGAAUUAUUGGGCGUAAAGCGCGCGCAGGCGGUUUCUUAAGUCUGAUGUGAAAGCCCACGGCUCAACCGUGGAGGGUCAUUGGAAACUGGGGAACUUGAGUGCAGAAGAGAAAAGCGGAAUUCCACGUGUAGCGGUGAAAUGCGUAGAGAUGUGGAGGAACACCAGUGGCGAAGGCGGCUUUUUGGUCUGUAACUGACGCUGAGGCGCGAAAGCGUGGGGAG
RNAcentral lists this ribosomal RNA (730 nucleotides) under Priestia megaterium. Its description in RNAcentral is "bacterial SSU rRNA". It matches the Rfam family "Bacterial small subunit ribosomal RNA", at positions 56 to 768 of the family's 1533-position model. The record is from RNAcentral. Lineage: Bacteria; Bacillati; Bacillota; Bacilli; Caryophanales; Bacillaceae.